Molecule: long non-coding RNA, 3437 nt
Organism: Oncorhynchus mykiss (rainbow trout)
Lineage: Eukaryota; Metazoa; Chordata; Actinopteri; Salmoniformes; Salmonidae
Source: Ensembl
AAUCUAAACAGAGUCAUGGCGUUGUCUCUAAACACGGUGUUUGUUGACUCCUGGGUUUAUAAAUAAACAGACACAUGAUGAUUGGCUUCAAGCCCUCCGGAUCUGUCUGUUUACACCGUCCCAUUAUAACAGCUAUCUCUUUAUAGCUGUCACAUGAAACAACACACACAGACAUACACAAACACACACAUAAACACACACACACAUAAACACACGCACACACACACACACAGAAGCAGAUACCUGAAGAGAAAAGGAAAUGCCUCACAGAUCUUUGUGAUGUCAUUACAGUUCUGUUGUGUUUCUGACAUUCUCAAAUCAACUGCACCGGCAAAUAAGCUGUCUAAAGGAUUUAGUGAAUCGACGGAGGUAUGUGUACCUGCCUGACUUCCUGUUUUAUCUGCCAGUCUACCUACCUGUGAACCUGCCUGACUUCCUGUUUACCUGCCUGACUACCAGCAUGUCUACCUGCCUGACUUCCUGUUUUACCUGCCAGUCUACCUACCUGUGUACCUGCCUGACUUCCUGUUUACCUGCCUGACUACCUGCCUGUCUACCUGCCUGACUUGCUGUUUACCUGCCUGACUACCUGCCUGUCUACCUGCCUGACUUCCUGUUUACCUGCCUGACUACCUGCCUGUCUACCUGCCUGACUUCCUGUUUACCUGCCUGACUACCUGCCUGACUUGCUGUUUACCUGCCUGCCUGACUACCUGCCUGUCUACCUGCCUGACUUCCUGUUUACCUGCCUGACUACCUGCCUGUCUACCUGCCUGACUUGCUGUUUACCUACCUGCCUGUCUACCUGCCUGACUGCCUGUCUACCUGCCUGUCUACCUGACUAACUACCUGUCUACCUACCUGACUUCCUGUCUACCUACCUGACUGUCUACCUGCCUGUCUACCUGCCUGACUUCAUGUCUACCUACCUGUCUGUCUACCUGCCUGUCUACCUACCUGCCUGUCUACCUACCUGCCUGUCUACCUACCUGUCUACCUGCCUGUCUACCUGCCUGACUUCCUGUCUACCUACCUGUCUACCUGCCUGACUUCCUGUCUACCUACCUACCUGCCUGUCUACCUGACCUGACUGGCUGUCUACCUGCCUGACUGCCUGUCUACCUGCCUGACUGCCUGUCUACCUGCCUGUCUACCUACCUGUCUGUCUACCUGCCAGUCUACCUGCUAGUCUACCUGCCAGUCUACCUGCCUGACUUCCUGUCUACCUACCUGCCUGUCUAACUGCCUGUCUAACUGCUUGCCUGCCUGUCUACCUACCUGCCUGUCUACCUGCCUGUCUAACUGCUUGCCUGCCUGUCUACCUGCCUGCCCCUUCAAGGGAGAAUAUAAUAUCAGGUUACGGCCCUGGGCCGACAAGGUUUUCGUCCCACCUUCUGACCAAUAUCAUUUCUACAUCUGCUGCUGUUAAAUGAGAGAGGACUGAGGGUUGUGUCAUUGUGGUACACCGGGGGCCUGUCUACCUGCCUGACUUCCUGUUUACCUGCCUGACUACCUGCCUGACUUGCUGUUUACCUGCCUGCCUGACUACCUGCCUGACUUCCUGUUUACCUGCCUGACUACCUGCCUGUCUACCUGCCUGACUUGCUGUUUACCUACCUGCCUGUCUACCUGCCUGUCUACCUGCCUAACUACCUGUCUACCUACCUGACUUCCUGUCUACCUACCUGACUGUCUACCUGCCUGUCUACCUGCCUGACUUCCUGUUUACCUGCCUGACUACCUGCCUGUCUACCUGCCUGACUUGCUGUUUACCUGCCUGACUACCUGCCUGUCUACCUGCCUGACUUCCUGUUUACCUGCCUGACUACCUGCCUGUCUACCUGCCUGACUUGCUGUUUACCUACCUGCCUGUCUACCUGCCUGACUGCCUGUCUACCUGCCUGUCUACCUGCCUGUCUACCUGCCUGACUACCUGUCUACCUACCUGACUUCCUGUCUACCUACCUGACUGUCUAGCUGCCUGUCUACCUGCCUGACUUCAUGUCUACCUACCUGUCUGUCUACCUGCCUGACUGCCUGUCUACCUACCUGCCUGUCUACCUACCUGCCUGUCUACCUACCUACCUGCCUGUCUACCUACCUGUCUACCUGCCUGUCUACCUGCCUGACUUCCUGUCUACCUACCUGUCUACCUGCCUGACUUCCUGUCUACCUACCUGCCUGUCUACCUGACCUGACUGCCUGUCUACCUGCCUGACUGCCUGUCUACCUGCCUGACUGCCUGUCUACCUGCCUGUCUACCUACCUGCCAGUCUACCUGCCAGUCUACCUGCCUGUCUACCUGCCAGUCUACCUGCCAGUCUACCUGCCAGUCUACCUGCCUGACUGCCUGUCUACCUGCCUGACUUCCUGUCUACUUACCUGCCUGUCUAACUGCUUGCCUGCCUGUCUACCUGCCUGCCCCUGCAAGGGAGAAUAUAAUAUCAGAUUACGGCCCUGGGCCGACAAGGUUUUAGUCCCACCUUCUGACCCAUAUCAUUUCUACAUCUGCUGCUGUUAAAUGAGAGAGGACUGAGGGUUGUGUCAUUGUGGUACACCGGGGGCAUACUUAUGUCUGGCCUGGCUAGCUGCUCUCCUCACCAUGCUGUCUGGGUGGAGGGAUUGAUCAUGAAACAUUACACAGCCUCUCCCAUCUAUCUAUACACACACACACAGACACAGAGAGAGAGACACACACACACACACACACACACACACACACACACACGUUAGAGACUCUCCCAUCUAUCUAUACACACACACACAGACACAGAGACCCACACACACACACAGAGAAACACACAGACACACACAGAAACACACACACACACAGACCCCCCCACACACACACACACACAGACACACACAGAAACUAACCCACACACGUUAGAGACUCUCCCAUCUAUAUAUACACACACAGAGAGAGACACACACACACACACACACACAGACACACACACACAGACACACACAGACACACACACACACACAGACACACACAUAGACACACAGACACACACGUUAGAGACUCUCCCAUCUAUCUAUCUACACACACACAGACACACAGAGACACACACAGAUACACACAGACACACACGUUAGAGACUCUCCCAUCUAUCUAUACACACACACACAGAGACACACACACACACACACACAGACACACACACACACACACACGUUAGAGACUCUCCCAUCUAAUCUAUUCCACUGUAAGAACCAGACACUGAACAGCAGGGCUCUCUUGCCAUUCAUCCCCGAGCUAGGCAGAUAAAACCAACAAAGAUGACUGACAGGCCAGACAACAGACAGAGAUGACUGACAGCCCAGACAACAGAUAGAGAUGACUGACAGCCCAGACAACAGAUAGAGAUGACUGACAGCCCAGACAACAGACACUGAACUGUAGGGCUCUCUUGCCAUCUAUCCCCGAGCUA